GAGGGUAUAGCUUAGCAGUAGAGCUCAUGCUUAGGGUGCACCAGGCCCUGGAUUCAAUCCCCUGUACCUCCA
Molecule: transfer RNA, 72 nt
Filed under: Camelus bactrianus (Bactrian camel)
Lineage: Eukaryota; Metazoa; Chordata; Mammalia; Artiodactyla; Camelidae
Also listed under: 2 other names
Rfam family: tRNA
About the family: Transfer RNA (tRNA) molecules are approximately 80 nucleotides in length. Their secondary structure includes four short double-helical elements and three loops (D, anti-codon, and T loops).
Source: Rfam by way of RNAcentral